AAAAAUGUCUGAAGAGGUUGGAGCAUGCAGGGAGAAGGAAGACAAUAGUGUCAUUCUACCCGCCACUACAAUCAACUCUAAGGAGAAGAAAAUAUCGGAAGACAGUUCAAAAAUUGAGACAGCGCAAUUAGUCACUACUGUGCACAUAAAGUGGAAGACAAUAGUGUCAUUCUACCCGCCACUACAAUCAACUCUAACGAGAAGAAAAUAUCGGAAGACAGUUCAAAAAUUGAGACAGCGCAAUUAGUCACUACUACGCACAUAAAGGUUUUACAUAUACACGUGUCUUAUGACUCAGCUAUUCUGGUAGAAAAUGACAUUCCCUUACAUCAUAUGGGGAUCGGUAUGUUGUAUUUUGUAGAGCAUUGCCCCUUGUCAUCUUUAUGAUCUAAAUAAAAUAAUACGAAAUUACCAUGUAUUGUUAUUUACUUUGUUAUCUAAGAAUUUAAGAGACAUGGAUAUUAGAUUAAUGAAUAUAGUUUUUUUACAAUUAAUAAAUAUACACUUUUCAGAACUAAAAGCAAUCAUAAUGCCAGCCAUAUGCUUUCUAAUGAUCCUCUAUUCACAAGAGGGCAUUGUUUGUGCGCCUUCGGAGUUCGGACCACAUGUACAAACUCUGCUUCUUAUUAGUUAAUGCUGGAAUCAUUCCGCAUUUCUUUUCAUAAAAAAAAUGUAGAGACUAAAGCUUUACUUAAGGUAAAUGAUUGUGAAGCUUUUGUUAUCACAAAAUAAAUUUUCUUUUCUGCGCAUCAAGCUCCAAAUUUAGUUUUAAUUUCAUUCUCCAGUUUCGAGUAAUCACAAGCAUUGGUACAAUAAUAUUGGGCGUCAUUUUUGCUAAAAAAAACUAAUUUUGACCACAGUAGUCUGCUAAAAAUUCCAUCAUCACUUGCAUUAAUGUAACCAUUGACCUUUUACGUGCUUUGGCGGGUUCGUUUCAGCUAACCAGCCCCUUCACAACUUAGAAGGUGUUUCAUUGUCAUGAAAGUAGCCACUCCUAUGUCCAACAUUUCACUUGUAUCUUCAACCUCUGUAUCUACACAAAGAUAAAUUGUGAAAGGAAGACAUUUUAGAAGUCUUUCUAAAGAAAAAGUGAAAAGCAAGUUUUAAGAGUUCAAAAUGUCAGCUGCUGAGCUGCAGUAUGUACCCCCAAUAUUUGAUUCCUCGCAUUCUAUAGCUUUUUCAGCCCUAAGCCUUUGUGAUUCCUGCUAUGAUUUUUUUGAUUGCGACCUUUGUCAGAUCAGUUCCAAAAUACCAUGUACAGUUUUGAGGUGAGAGCAUCGUGAUCCAAGGUGUGCGGAUA
This is a long non-coding RNA of Panicum virgatum (switchgrass), 1300 nucleotides long. RefSeq lists it as uncharacterized. NCBI's taxonomy places the organism in Eukaryota, Viridiplantae, Streptophyta, Magnoliopsida, Poales, Poaceae. The record is from RefSeq and is a predicted model, not a curated record. The transcript has 2 exons.